CCUCCGCUUUGGUCUCGUGGCUUCUGGAGUCUUCUAGAUGAUGUAAAAUUGCGCGGUGCGUUGAUAUCUCUAUGUAAUCCCGACAUGUGGGCCUUUCUUCCUUAUUUCCUGAUAACCCCCUGCAGAAAUAGAUAAACAACAAAACUCAUGAGAAGUAGAUUACCAGAGUCAUCCCAUGAGCAAGCUUGAUUAGAGCUUGAUCAUGACAGUACAACCGGAGGAAGAACCGACAGGCCGGCCUCUCCUCUAAUCCUCCUUCGCUCUCCAUCUCGCUACUAUCUAGAUCUACUCUAGUUUAGAGAAGAGAGGAGAGCUCUCAUCUCUAAACCCUAGCUUUUGCUCUAUCUAUGAAUAAUGAUCAAGGAGUUGCCUCCUCCAGGGGCCAGGGGGUCUGGUUAUAUAGUCCCCUCAAGUGAACCUGGGCCGUUGGAUCAAACCGACAUUGAUUGAACGGUUAUUCUUGAUCCUUUAGGUCGGUGGAGAUCUCCCGAGAGAAAGAGUCCUGAUUGGGCUCCAAGUCAGGGCGGGCGCCCUGCCUCUGGCCCCGUUCGGCCUCCGCUUCCUUCCCGUGGCUUCUGGAGUCUUCUAGAUGUAAGAUAAUUGCGCGACACGUUAAUAUCUCUAUGUAAUCCCGACGUGUGGGCCUUUCUUCCGUAUUUCCUGAUAACCCCCUGUAGAAAUAGACAAACACCAAAACUCGUGGAAUUCUGUCACAUAAAACCCUAAGUCUAGAUGUUGAUUUCAUUUGGAUCCUUUUCUUUGUUUAUUUGAUAAUUAAAUUUGAUACUUAAGGACCGUCAACAAACUCCCCCAAGCUUACCUCUUGCUCGUCCCUGAGCAAGGUUAGACUCAGCAAUGGAUCAGAAGUUGUUGAAAUAUCUUAAAAAUUUGACGGUACAUAUGCUUUUAAAUAAGAUCUCAUCUCUGAGUUAGAGUAAACUGUCAAGAACUAAAACUUACUUACUUUACCUUUCACCAUGGGACUUGUAACCGUCACUUCUGUCUUGAGUAGUUAAAAGAUAGAACAGUCUAGCCAAGUGCCAUGUCUCUUAUUCUUGAUCAGCUAUAGCUCUGGAGUUUUUGCAGAUUUUCAAAUAAAACUCAGAGAUUCCUUGUAUGACUCUCUAAAUCUCUCUUUUGUGGUAUUUCUGGAUCCUUACCAAGGCAGUGAUGGUAUAUGCCUUCUCUCAAGAUAUAUGGUAUUUGUGGUAUAAGGUAUAGUGACAUUGCCUUCUCUCUCACCCUACUCUAAUAAGGCUUUAAUAUCUGGAGCUCAUAGGUGGGAGACAGCUAAUACAUACUUACAAGACAUUUAUUGCAUAGUCAAACCAUGGAUCCAAAGAAACAAAUCAAUAAGCCAAAUCAAGAUGUGCAUGUGUGGCGAAUGAAUGGUGUAUGGUGAUGAUGGUGAUAACAAUGGUGGAAGUCUAAUUCUACUUUUGCUCUUUUGAGGGGAUACAUACCUUCCUUUCUUUUAGAAACUUUAUGAGGAGAAUGAGAUGCUCUAUCUUUCAUUUUUUUCUCUCAGGUGGGUAUCUUGUACCCCUAAUUCUACUGUCGGACACUUGUCCAUUUUUACCUCUCGUCUCACUUUUUCUUUCUUUCGAGGUUCCGGGCACUUGCCCCUUUUUAUUUCCUCGUUUAUUAUUUUUUUAUUUUUUAUUUUUUUUCUUUUCAGAGCACUCAUCUCUUGAGAUAAUAUAGCAAGUGGUAGUAGCAAGAUAACUUGAGCAUUUAUUUCACAAGGGAAAACAGAAAUAUUUUUAGCUAUUCUCUCCCAGAUUAGGAGUAGAAUAUUUUUGGGUGAUUCUGGAGAUGGACAUGGAUGGAUAUAUGUGGAUGGUACUUUCGGAGUAGAAGUAGCAUAUAUGAGUGAAUGUGCAAGUGAAAUCUUGAUUUAACCACAUAACAAACUCCUAAGGGUCUACACAGCUUGACCACACUCAAUGCUCAUAAGCAGUAAAUAGUAAAUGUGUGGCUCAAAGUCUAGCAAGCAUGUAUAUAUGGCUGUGGUAGGAAUUUAAACUCUCAUCAUACAGGAACUCAUCAUGCAAUAUUUUAAAGAUUUUUCAAAGAUAAAAUUCUCCAGAAUUCUAGCAUCUCUAGGAAUAGAUAAACAGCAGCUCAGCCUUCCCAUAUCAUAUCCGUUAACAACUUAGAUUUCAGAUUAAGUUUUCAUCCCACAAGUUUAGAUCUAGAGCAAGCUUUAAAUUAUAACAGUUAUGUCUAAACUUGAGAGAGAACUUCAAAUUUGCAAAUUAGGCAGAGCAACUAUUCAUCAUAUCCAUGCAAUAGUUUUAUUAUUAAGAUUCAGAUUAGCAUAGCCACUUUUUUAUUAAACACACUAAGCAAAAGAUAUAUAUAUAAGCACAAAAUCUUUAUUUGGUUUUUCAUAGUUUAUGUAUUUUAAUAUUCUAAUAUAAUAUAAGUAUAAAGAUAGGUAGAAAUACUUAGCGAGAUAAAUGGGGGUGCUCUCCCCCAAGCUGAAUUUUGAUGUAAUUUCUCUUGAUGUAGCUACCAGGUGGCAGAGGUGUAUUUGAAAGUCAGCAGCAUUCUGACAGCGAUUAGAAUGUCCUCCGUCUGCUAGUCUUCUUGAUUCUUAAAUUCUGUGGAGCUCAAAUAGACAACAAAGCUUGUGGAACUAAUUAAGUGUUAGCAUAAAUAUCUAGCCUUCAUCAUGUUGAGCUUCCUCAAUAAAUAUUACUCCCUGUUUUUAUAUUUUUAUUUUAUAAAGCAGAAAAGAAAUAUUUAUUUUAUUUUUAUGCCACCAUAGUGAAGGUACUUAUGGGUUUUAUGCCACUCGUAUACUCACAUGGGGCUUAGUAUUUUUUAAUAUUUUUAUUUUCUUUUCAAGAUAGCAUGAUUAACUAAUAAUCUAUUUAAGGAAAGUAAAUAAUUAAAGGGAAAAGGGAAUGCAGAAAGGAUAAAUAUGGAUAACUACUGAUCUUACCUUUUGGCGAGGGUUCAAUGUUUUAAGUCUUCUGAACAAGACUUCUCAUUGUAUUCAUUCUUUAGGUGCGUCAUUUGAUUCAGGUGUGGACCCUGACGUCUGCUCCUGUUGAUACGGUGUCACCCAUGUUCUUCGUUUGCCCAGUAGUUCGAAGAGCGGCGUUGGCAAUAUCUUGCUCAGUGUGUUUGUGCUCGUAGAUCUAGGUCCUUCACUUGGUAGAGUCUGAGAGUUAUAAAACUCCUCCGUGUUUUUCUCAAAGUGUACCUGCUCAUAGAGACAAGGCAGAGAUCAAGUGCAUGGGUCCUGUUGGUGGAAAACACCAACAGAACCUAAAGUGUAUUUGUUCUUCUCUAACCCUAAGCAUAGUGAGCAAGACAAAGUUGAUGGAUGAAAAGUUCAUGAGUGUAGCACUUAUAACAUUUGUCAGAUCAGAUCGCUCAACCUUAUGGAAAGAUAAUCUAUCUAUGUAUAUGUCUUUUUCUUUAUAUCUCUCAAUGAUUGAAUGUGUAACAUUUUAGCUCAUAUGAUUAGGAGUGUGGGAUCAUGGAGGUAGUACUAAGAACAAGGAUUAAAGGACUAAACAUGUUGAAUCAGUUGGGUUGGUUAAUCUAGAGUUGUAAAUCAUACAUGUUUGUCUCUUUUAUUUAUAUGAACGCCAGAACCAAGGAGAAGCUUAUAAAAGUGAUAGUCA
RNAcentral lists this long non-coding RNA (3641 nucleotides) under Sorghum bicolor (sorghum). RNAcentral's name for it is "long non-coding RNA (SBIC_LNC008138)". The record is from RNAcentral. Lineage: Eukaryota; Viridiplantae; Streptophyta; Magnoliopsida; Poales; Poaceae.